AUUGAACGCUGGCGGCGUGCCUAACACAUGCAAGUCGAGCGGUAACGCGGGGGCAACCCUGGCGACGAGCGGCGAACGGGUGAGCAAUAUUUGGGAAUCUGCCUAUUAGUGGGGGAUAAC
RNAcentral lists this ribosomal RNA (120 nucleotides) under uncultured bacterium. RNAcentral's name for it is "partial 16S ribosomal RNA". It matches the Rfam family "Bacterial small subunit ribosomal RNA", at positions 30 to 147 of the family's 1533-position model. The record is from RNAcentral.